RNAcentral lists this ribosomal RNA (253 nucleotides) under uncultured bacterium. Its description in RNAcentral is "partial 16S ribosomal RNA". It matches the Rfam family "Bacterial small subunit ribosomal RNA", at positions 524 to 776 of the family's 1533-position model. The record is from RNAcentral.
UACGUAGGUGGCAAGCGUUGUCCGGAAUUACUGGGUGUAAAGGGAGCGUAGGCGGUUAUGCAAGUUGAAUGUGAAAUCUAUCGGCUCAACUGAUAGGCUGCGUUCAAAACUGUAUAUCUUGAGUGAAGUAGAGGUAGGCGGAAUUCCUAGUGUAGCGGUGAAAUGCGUAAAUAUUAGGAGGAACACCAGUGGCGAAGGCGGCCUGCUGGGCUUUAACUGACGCUGAGGCUCGAAAGCGUGGGUAGCAAACAGG